Long non-coding RNA from Pollicipes pollicipes, 286 nucleotides. RefSeq lists it as uncharacterized. The record is from RefSeq and is a predicted model, not a curated record. The transcript is spliced from 3 exons. Lineage: Eukaryota; Metazoa; Arthropoda; Thecostraca; Pollicipedomorpha; Pollicipedidae.
CGAAGUGGUCCGGCGUUAGCAUCCGAGUGACUGCUUGUACGCUCGUUGUACCGGCUUUGGAUACAUUUAAGCCUGUGUCAAGGUGACAUAUCAUUAUGCCAGAAACUGAAAUAAUGGUAAAUGAUGUGCCAGUGAGGUUUCCAUUUGAACCAUAUGAAAUUCAGAAGGUCUACAUGGAAAAAGUAAUAAAAUGUCUGCAACAGGGCGUGAAUGGCGUGCUGGAGUCGCCGACCGGCACGGGCAAGACGCUGUGCCUGCUGUGCGCGGCGCUAGGCUGGGCCGAGGC